CUGGCCAACCCCCUUCCCCGUCGGAAGCUCACUUCCCUGCCUGGGAGAAAUCCUCACGCGGCCCCGCGCCUUGGUCUGCGCUGCUCGGACCCGUGCACGUGGUUCCUUGCGUUCGCGCGCCUGGCACCGCUAGGACACCCCGGGGUCCUCCCAAGGCUUGCCCCUUCCGUCAACAUGCUCCUCUUCUCCGUCGUCGGGCUUCUCCAGCGUCGGGACGCUGCUCGCGGCCACCUCUGCCCGAACCCUCGUCGGGCCGCCCCAUCUCCACCGGUUGCUUCCUACCAGGCCGCCGCCCCCUGGUCGCACAGCGCUGCCGUACUAGCCAGCCCGCCCUGCGUCGUCUCCUCGUUGUCGGUCUGCACCUCUGCCCGCGCCUCGACGUGCUCCCGGGGCUGCGCCUCCUCGCAUGGACGUCCGUUUCGCGCGCUGUCGCAUGCCCGUGCGACCUCUGCCCCGCCGUCGACUACCUGCUCGUCGCGGUCCAGCCCCCCUAUGUCGCUCCCUCCCUGGCGGCCCCCAUCUCCUACUCCUUCGACGCCGUCCCGUUUGGCCCGUCGCCGCCCGUAUCGAUCAUUUGCUCGGCAGCCACCCUCCCCAGUAGCGCGACCGCACCCACUGGCGUUCUUGGCCCUGCUCCUAUGGCCGCAGCCCCCUCAGCUCUGGCCACACGGAUAA
RNAcentral lists this unclassified non-coding RNA (675 nucleotides) under Zea mays. Its description in RNAcentral is "misc RNA Zm00001eb181480". Lineage: Eukaryota; Viridiplantae; Streptophyta; Magnoliopsida; Poales; Poaceae. The record is from RNAcentral.